Molecule: unclassified non-coding RNA, 381 nt
Filed under: uncultured bacterium
Lineage: Bacteria
Description: contains 16S-23S intergenic spacer region
Source: RNAcentral
UCCGAGUUGACCCCGGCAGUCUCCUAUGAGUCCCCGGCUUGAACCGCUGGCAACAUAGGACAAGGGUUGCGCUCGUUGCGGGACUUAACCCAACAUCUCACGACACGAGCUGACGACAGCCAUGCAGCACCUGUGCACCGUCCAGCCGAACUGAAGGACCGGUCUCCCGGCCCGCGACGGGCAAGUCAAGGGAUGGUAAGGUUCUGCGCGUUGCUUCGAAUUAAACCACAUACUCCACCGCUUGUGCGGGCCCCCGUCAAUUCCUUUGAGUUUCAGCCUUGCGGCCGUACUCCCCAGGCGGGGCACUUAAUGCGUUAGCUGCGACACCGAUGGGGUCGUUCCCACCGGCAUCUAGCGCCCAUCGUUUACGGCGUGGACUAC